AUGGCACAACACUUGUUAGGGCAUAACACGCCCAAAAGCACAAGCACCACAUAUGUGGCAACCGCCACCAGCAUAAAACUUUAUUCUUGUUACUACGAACACAACACUACGACAGUACUUCCCUUAACCAGUCUACAUCGAGCACAAAUGAACAUGGUGGCGGUGGUGCUAGACAUGCAAGAUCAGUGCAUGCAUGACACUCUUCUAAUAAGAACUCCCCAUGGUGAAGUUGAAGUUGCUGCAUGUAGUGCGGAUUCCGAGGAGCAGCCCACUGAACGCGAACGUCUCCUUCACCAGAUCGAACAUCAGCAGGUUGUUCUCCAUCUGGUGCCCCCCGAGGAUAACCGCCGGCGAGUCGAUCGCCGCCGGCAUGGACGACGAAAUCUGGACGAACGCGAAGCACACUGUCUGCUCGUUCACCUGCACGAGCGAGCUGGCACCGGGCAGCGUCCAGUUCCGGCCUCCGUCCAGCAUCAGCUCGAUGCUGGCCACGGCGUAGCCCACCCGGGUCACCGUGAGCGCGGACGCCUGGUAGCACAAGUCGAACUGCGCCACCUUGUCCGCGCGCGCGAUACCACUCGUGGCCACGUCGAACGCGUUGCGGAGCGGCCAGUAGAUGUCCCAGCGGAGCGCCGUGUAGGGCGUGACGGUGCUGAAGACGGCGCCGCCCGUGCCGCUGCCGGCGUCGAGGUCGAAGACGCCGUCUGGCGUCGGCACGCGCUGCUGGUUCACGGCGACGCCGGUGAUGCCGAAGUAGUAGCCGCCGUUGUAGGGGUGCUUGAGGAGAGGGAGCGGGUUCUCGCGAAGCCGCUCGGCGAGCUCCACGGGCGGCGCGGCCAGGAGCUGGAACGGGCCGCCACCGAAGACUGCCACGCCGUCGCCGCCGCUGGGCAGGCACAGGGCGAACUCGUUCGCCACCUUGAGCAAGGACGCGAACUGGGUCGGUAG
Molecule: ribosomal RNA, 948 nt
Filed under: Triticum aestivum (bread wheat)
Lineage: Eukaryota; Viridiplantae; Streptophyta; Magnoliopsida; Poales; Poaceae
Description: partial small subunit ribosomal RNA
Source: RNAcentral